AAGGGUGUUCUCAAAGUAAUUGACUCAAUCUGUCGUACAUUCCUAUGGACUGGUUCUGCAAGUUAUUCCAGGAGGGCCUUAGUAGCUUGGGACAGAAUUUGUACUCCUUUAAAUGCUGGUGGACUUAACAUAAUGAACUUGACAAUUUGGAAUAAAGCAGCAGUAGCCACACUUCUAUGGGACCUGGCAAGAAAGAAGGAUUGUAUAUGGGUUAAAUGGAUUCAUUGUUAUUACAUAAAGAGGGAAGAAGUUGGAACAGCAAAUGUUCCCAAGCAAGCUGCUUGGGUAGUAAGGAAGAUCAUACAAUGUAGAGAUGGUGUUAUGGUGAAUCAGCAGAUGGAUGGUUCACUUUAUGACAGACUUAAAUCAGUUUGUUGUAUGGGAAGAUUCCAAAUACAUAAACUCUAUAUUGCUAUGCUGCCUAGAUUUGAAAGAGUCAGCUGGAGGAACUUAUUAUUGGUUGAUAAUGUAAUUUCCCAGUCACAAGUUCACUGCUUGGUUGGCUGCACAUCACAGAUUGCCUACUGUGGAUAGAUUGGCUAGGUUUGGAAUUCAACUUCCACUUCUGUGUGUAUUUUGUAAACAAAAAGAGGAGACAUUUCAUCAUCUAUAUUUUGAAUGCUGUAUCACAAAGAGGCUAUGGGCUCGUAUGUGCUGUUGGUUGGGUAGCCCGAGACAAGCAGUUAACUAGGAUGAGGAGUUGAUAUGGAUAUGUAGGAAAGCUCGAAGUUCUGCAUGGAGUAAUGCGAUUACUGCUGCUGCUUUCAUUCAUGUCAUUGCUUUAAUUUGGAAGGCAAGGAAUAAUAUGAGGUUUCAAAAUAUGGUGUAUGAUGAGGAUAGAACAGCCAGAGAAGUUGCAAUGCUGAUUCAUAUUCGAGGCAGACACGGUCGAAGAUGGCAACAUGGGUUACAACAGCUAAACAAUUUUCCUUAGUUGGAGUUUUAGUAACUGUAAAUCACAUACAUAGUCAUUGUUUUUUUUUGAAAGAAGUAUAGAUAUGACUCUGUAACUAGACUGAUAGCAAUUGAGUAGUAGAAGUCCAUACUACUACCUUAGGAUUACAUUGUAUAUUUUUAUAUUAAUACAAAGUUGACAGUUAAGCUUAAAAAAAAACAAGUACACAUUGUAGAUACUACCAAUGGGGGCUUAUGCACAUCUUCAAUUAGUCAAACAAUUUGUAACCAGUGGAAUGCAGAAAGUGAUCAUCAUCACUACCUUAAAGACAUGAAUUAUAUGUCUAAUUAUGGAGGCCAUUUAAAAAAAAUAAAAAAAUCAUGCCUUUUAUAGCCAUUGUGACCAAUUUAUCUAUUUUAAUGAAGUUUUCUACUUCAUGUAUUUUCAGUUGUGAUAUUUGCUUAAAAAUAAAUUGGAUUUGCUUAAAAAUAAAUUGGAACUAUUUAAUUUAAUGUGUUUAGGAUAAAAUAUUGCUCUAUAGCUUAUUUAGUAAUUGGAAUAGAAGGAAAUUAUUUUAGAUGAGAUGAUGAAUAUCAGUUUUGUUACAAAGGAUAUCAUUAGGCGCAUGUUAACCAAUAAGUUAUCAUGAUAUGUACACAUUCACGUGACAUAGUUACGAUUUUCUAAAUUAAAGGCAAAGUAGGCAUUUGCGCAACUUUGACAAAAAUCUUAAAAAAAUAAUAAAGUUUUAUUAAUUGUGUAACAUGAUGUCAUUGAGUGCAUCUUUUUAGCAACAUUACCAGAAAUCAUUGCAGUUGUGGAAUCACUAUCAUCAGUAAGAUCAAUCUGGAAUAUACAUCUGCAACCAAAGAUGGUUUAAUAUAUGUAAGAAAAUGAUAUAUAUACAAUAAUUUCGAUGUGCUAAAGUUGUCUGUCGUUUACAUUUGGUGCAGUCAAAAUCUUUUCUUUCCUUCGUUCGCAUACUUCACCUUCUUUGUUCAUCUUUGCCUCUGCUUCUAUGAUGAUUCUUUUUUAAUUUAACUUAUGACAUCACCCCUGCUAAUUACAAUACAGAGCUAAAGAAAACACAUAAACCAACAUGUCGUAUUAAAUUAAGAAAAGAACGAAUAUCGACAAUUAUGUUAAAUUUUGGUAAUAUUUAUCUGUAUUUUAAAUAUGAAUCACUGACCAUUAAAGAUACAAUAAAUCAAAAAUCAUAGUAUAAAGAUAUCAUAAGAAUUAACAGUUCUAUUUUACGUAAAUGUUCAAGUCAAAAUUCUGUAACAGAACAAAUACAGUUGCGAGAAAGCAGCCAAAGAGAAGAAAAAGCAGAAGGAAAAGAAGUGAGAAAAUGAGGAAAACAAGAUCAAAGGAGAAAUGUAAAUUAGCAGUCUUAUUGAAGCACGAAUCCAGAAAAAAACUGAUAAUUUUGAGUUGAAUUAAUGGCUGAACUUUGAGUUAGUACUCUUCUUAAAUCAGAAUCUCAUAAGAGUUCCAAUUGAAGUAGGCAUUACUUUUCACAUUAAUCAAUUCUUACCUAAAAGUUCAGAUUUGUAUUCAUCAAUUCUUCAAAAUCUAUUGCAUGCAGGAGUAAAUCAGAGCAACUCAAUAAGAGACUAACCAGGAGAACAUGAAAAUAAUAAAUUCCCAAUAAACAAGGAGGAUAGAAACAAUACCCAGCAAGUUGUACUUCAAAUAAAUUCUAUAAAAUAAAACAAAAAAAAACAUGUAGCAAAAAGUAACUUAGAAUAACCACUAUGUAAAUUUGGAAAAAAUUUCUUUUUAAAACAUAGAGCGAGAUAUUGAGCGAGAGAAGAAGGAAGUAGAAUAAGAAAAUAAAAGUUAUGAAAAAUCAGGAGUACCUUAGGAUAAAUAAAUAUGCUGCAAACCAAAGAAAAUUAUCUCAUGAAAAGAUAGAAAAUUGAGCGAGAGCUUCUUAAGAGAGUGAGGGUAGAAAAGAAGAGCGUUUCAAAGUACAAGUUUUAGGAUAAAAUACACGACAUCCAAUGAAAAACGCACAAGUUUUAAGGUACAAUUUAGAUAACUUUUGACAGAAAAAUGAUAAUAACUCAGAAAACAGAGAGGACUCUUAACAUUUCUAAGAUCACACAACUUGAAAAUGAGGAGAAAGGUAACUGAACAGUACAUGCAUAGGAUAAUUCAGAAAAAGUUCUAAUAUGAUCAAAAGAAUUAAAACUAAACAUGAAGAGUCUUCAGGAAGGAUGGACGAAUAUUAUUUUUGCUUUUACUACUAAAAAUGCAGAAUAUAAGAACUAAUGUAUGCAAAUAUAUAUACUUGGAUCUCGGAUAGUUGAGACAUGCGUUAGUAUAUAGAUCAGAAAUAACUACCAAAAGAAAGAAGAUGGAAUCAUAAAUAGUUACUUUAACCCCAUGUGUAGUUAUAUUAAUUUCAUUAUGCAAAAGUUGAUUGACCUCCAAUUACAUAUUGAGCGAAAUCUUUUUCCCAAGUGUUCUUGCGCUAAUGGGGACAUUCCUCCAUACUUGUUCAAUAUAGGAAACCAUAGACAACAAAUAUCUUAUGCACAAAUAUAUAUAUUACAAGAGAAUUUUCUGUAAAAAAUGACAUAAAGACAGUGUAUGUCUCUAGUCCUAUUCAAUUGAUCAAAAGUAUAGCCACCAAUCAUAAAUUAAAUACAGGAAAUGUUUUAUAUUCUGGCACAUAAAAAGACACCUUAACCCAAUCAUUCUAAGCUCACGAGCAAUGGUCCCUAGCUUACCAGUUGUAAAAAAUUAUCACAAUGCAAGAAGAUAUUUGUGGGGUCCGGCCCCAUAUGUGGAAGAAGAAAAGCUUCUUCUUUCUUCCUUUUGUGUUUCUUCCUUUUGUUAAGCCAACCAAUUUAGAAAAGAUUUGGGCGACUGACUUUUGCAGUAGUGUUGAUGCCACUGCAUAAAUCAACAUAGGUAUUCUGCAACUAUACAUAGGUGCCUCUACCUUAAUUGUAAGACACACCAACAAAAGUGAGCAAUAUUGUAGUGAGGUGAAAAUAUCAAAAGAUAGUUAUUUCUUUUGAGUGUUGUAGUGUUCUUUGGGGUAUUUGUACUUGUUACUACAUGGUGUAAAUUCCUCACUAUAGUGAUAUCAGUUGAUAUUUUCAGAGCCGUGAUUUUUCCCUUAUUAAAAAGGGUUUUCCACGUAUAAAUCUUGGUAUUACUGUCACUCUUUUAUCCUUGUUAAUUACUGUAUCUCGGUGCUAUAUUAUUAUUCUGCUUUAAUUACCAUAAAUAUUAUUACUGUAGGGGGUUUAUUCCCAAUAAUUGGUAUCAGAGCACAGGUUCAACUCGUUGACAGAAAUAUUAUUCACUAUCAAUAGUACUAUACUUGGAAAAAAAUAAAAAUGUCCGGAGUAAAGUACAAGGUAGCAAAAUUCAAUAAAGAUAACGGUUUCUCAACAUGGCAAAGAUGGAUGAUGGAUCUGCUCAUCCAACAAAGAUUACACAAGUUACUAGAUGCUGAUGCCAAAAAGCCUGAUACUAUGAAAGUCGAGGAUUGAGCUGAUUUGGAUGAAAGAGCUGCUAGUGUAAUCAGGUUACACUUAUCAAAUUAUGUGAUAAAUAACAUCAUUGAUGAAGACAUUGUACGUGGCAUUUGGACAAGGCUGGAAAGCCUAUACAUGUCGAAAAUGCUGACAAAUAAAUUGUACCUGAAGAAGUAAUUAUACGCCUAUACAUGGGUGAAGGUAUGAAUUUUUUGUCACAUUUAAAUGAGUUUAACAGACUAAUCACACAGUUCGCCAACCUCACAGUGAAAAUCGAGGAAGAAGAUAAAGCCAUCUUGCUAUUGAACUCGUUGCCAUCUUCGUACGAUAAUUUGGCAAUAACCUUCCUACGCGGUAAGACUACCAUUGAGUUGAAAGAUGUUACAUCGGCUAUUAUACUCAAUGAGAAGAUGAGAAAGAAGCCUAAAAAUCAAGGAUAUGCUCUCAUCACAGAAGGUAGAGGCAGGAAUAUUAAAGGAGUUCGAACAAUUAUGGUAGAUCCGGAGCUCAUGGAAAGUCUAAGAACCGAUCCAAAUCAAGAUACAAAAAUUGCUACAAUUUUGAUCAACCAGGUCACUUCAAAAGAGAUUGUCCAAAUCCAAGAAAGGAAAAAGGUGAAACCAGUGGCCAGAAGAAUGACGACAACACAACCGUCAUGGUGCAAAAUAAUGAUAAUGUUGUACUUUUUAUAAAUGAGGAAGAAGAAUGCAUGCACCUGUCAGGUCCAGAGUCGAAAUGGGUGGUUGACACAACAUCAUCUUACCCUACCACAAAGGUAAGAGAUCUUUUUUGCAGAUAUGUAGCAGGUAAUUCCAAAAAUUGGUGAUAUUUGUAUCAAGACAAAUAUCGGAUGCACAUUGGUUCUAAAGGACGUGCGGCAUGUACCUGAUUUGAUGAUGAACUUGAUCUUGGGAAUUGCUUUAGACCGAGACGGAUACAAGAGCUAUUUUGCAAAUAAAAAGUGGAGACUCACCAAGGGAUCAUUAGUGAUUGCAAAGGGAUUUGCUCGUGGCACGUUGUACAGGACAAAUGCAGAAAUAUGCUAAGGUGAAUUGAACGCGGCACAAGAUGAGAUUUCUGCAAACUUGUGGCACAAAAGAAUGGGUCAUAUGAGCGAGAAGGAAUUGCAUAUUAUUUCCAAGAAAUCACUCAUUUCUUAUGUCAAGGGUACAAUGGUAAAACCUUAUGACUACUGUUUAUUUGGUAAGCAACAUAAAGUCUCAUUUCAGAUAUCAUCUGAAAGAAAAUUGAAUAUACUUGAUUUAGUAUAUUUUGAUGUUUGUGGCCCAAUGGAAAUUNNNNNNNNNNNNNNNNNNNNNNNNNNNNNNNNNNNNNNNNNNNNNNNNNNNNNNNNNNNNNNNNNNNNNNNNNNUAAUUGGUGGUAACAAAUAUUUUAUUACUUUUAUUGAUGAUGCUUCACGAAAAUUAUGGGUUUGUAUUUUGAAAACCAAAGAUCAGGUUUUUUAUGUUUUCCAGAAGUUUCAUGCUCUAGUAGAAAGGGAGAUGGGUCGAAAGCUAAAGUGUCUCCGAAGUGACAAUGGAGGAGAGUACACUUCAAGGGAAUUUAUAGAGUACUGUUCAAGUUAUGGGAUCAGACAUGAAAAGACAGUUCCUGGAACUCCCACAACACAAUGGAGUAGCCGAGAAAAUGAAUCGCACCGUUGUAGAGAAAGUGAGAAGCAUGAUCACAAUAGCUAAACUUGCCUAAGCUAUUCUGAGGUAAAGCAGUUCAGACAACCUAUUACCUUAUCAAUAGGAGCCCAUAAGUUUCGUUGACAUUCCAUAAAGAGUUUGGACCAACAAGAAGGUGUCAUACUCACAUCUAAAUGUGUUCGGUUACUGAGCUUUUUCACAUGUAUCAAAGGAGCAGAGAACAAAGCUGGUUGAUAAAUUUGUUCUCUACAUAAUCAUUGGAUAUGGAGAGAAGAGUUGGGUUAUAGAUUGUGGGAUCCUGUAAAGAAGAAGGUAUCAGAAGUAGAGAUGUAGUCUUCCGAGAAAGUAAAGUUGGAACUGCUGCUGUUAUGUUAGAGAAUGCCAAGAUUGGUAGAAUUCCUUACUUUGUUACUAUUCCUUAUACUUCUAACAAUCUCACAAGUGCAGAAAGUAGGACAAACGAGGUUGCAGAUCAGGGGGAGCAACCUAGUGAGCUUUUUUAGCAGGGGGAGCAACUUGAUGAAGGUGUCGAGGAAGUGGAGCACCCCACUCAGGAAGAACAACAACCUCAACCUCUGAGGAGAUCAGAGAGGCCAAGGGUAGAGUCAUGUAGGUACCCUUCCAUAGAGUAUGUCCUCAUCAGUGAUGAAGGGGAGGCAAAAAGUCUUAAGGAUGUGUUGUCCCAUCCAGAAAAGAACCAGUGGAUGAAAGCCAUGCAAGAAGAGAUGGAAUCUCCACAGAAAAUGGCACGUACAAGCUGGUUGAACUUCCAAAGGGUAAAAGACCACUUAAAUGCAAAUGGGUCUUUAAACUCAAGAAAUAUGGAAAUGGACUCCACAGAAAAAUGGCACAUACAAGCUGGUUGAACUUCCAAAGGGCAAAAGACCACUCAAAUGCAAAUGGAUUUUUAAAUUCAAGAAAGAUAGAACUGGCAAACUGGUUAGACACAAAGCUCGAUUGAUAGUUAAAGGAUUCGAAUAGAAGAAAGGUAUUGAUUUUGACAAAAUUUUCUCACCCGUUGUCAAAAUGACUUAUAUUCGAACAAUUUUGAGCUUAGCAACUAGCCUAGAUCUUGAAAUAGAGCAGUUGGGUGUGAAAACUGCAUUUUUUCAUGAAGAUUUGGAAGAGAAGAUUUGGAAGAGAAGCAUCCAUAAAGAUUUGAAGUAGCUGGAAAGAAACAGAUGGUGUGCAAAUUAAAUAAGAGUCUAUAUGGAUUGAAGCAUGUACCAAGGCAGGGGUACAUGAAGUUUGGCUCAUUCAUGAAAAGUCUAACAUACAUAAAGACCUAUUCUGAUCCAUGUGUAUAUUUCAAAAGUUUUUUUGAAUUUUUUAUUAUAUUAUUGUUGUAUGUGGAUGACAUGUUAAUUGUAGGAAAAGACAAGGGGCUGAUCGCAAAGUUGACGGGAGAUCUGUCCAAGUCAUUUGAUACGAAAGACUUGGGUCCAACACAACAAAUUCUAGGGAUGAAGGUAAUUCGAGAGCGAACAAGCAGAAGGUUGUGGCUAUCUCAGGAGAAGUACAUUGAACACGUAUUGGAAUGCUUCAACAUGAAGAAUGCCAAGCCAGUCAGCAUACCUCUUGCUAGUCAUAUGAAGUUAAGCAAGAAGAUGUGUCCUACAACAAUGGAGGAGAAAGGAAACAUGGGUAGAGUUCCUUAUUCUUCUGCCGUCGGAAAUUUGAUGUAUGUAAUGGUAUGCAGUAGACCUGACAUUGCUCAUGCAGUUGGUGUUGUCAGCAGGUUUCUUGAAAAUUCUGGAAAAGAAUACUAGGAAGUUGUCAAGUGGAUACUCAAGUAUCUGAGAGGUACCGUAGGAGAUUGCUUGUGCUCUGGAGGAUCUGAUCCAGUCUUGAAGGGUUAUACAGAUGCAGAUAUAACAGGUGACAAUCAUAACAGAAAAUCUAUUACUGGAUAUUUAUUUACAUUUUCAAGGGUAGUUAUAUCAUGGCAAUCGAGGUUGGAGAACUGUGCUGCACUCUCUACAACUGAAGUGGAAUACAUUGCCGCUACUAAAGCUGGGAAGGAAAUGAUAUGGCUGAAAUGGUUCUUUCAAGAGCUUGGAUUGCAUCAGAAAGAGUAUAUUAUCUAUCGUGACAAUUAAAGUGCAAUAGAUUUGAGCAAGAACUCCAUAUACCAUGCAAGGACCAAACAUAUCGAAGUGAGAUAUCAUUGGAUCGGAGAAAAGGUAGAAAGUGAAUCUCUGCAAGUCCUGAAGAUCUCCACAAGUGAAAAUCUUGUAAAUAUGCUAACCAAGAUGAUACCAAGGGACAAGUUCGAAUAGUGCAAAGAACUUGUACCAUGUACUCAAAUUAAAAAUCCGGUGUUAUCCUCUUCAAAAUAAUGGGUCUAAGGGGGAUUUUUUGGUUCCGACCUCAUAUGUGGAAGAAGAAAAGCUUCUUCUUUCUUCCUUUUGUCAAGCCAGCCAAUUUAGAAAAGAUUUGGGCGACUGACUUUUGCAGUAACGUUUAUGUCACUGCAUAUAUCAACAUAGGUAUUCUGCAACUAUAAAUAGGUGCCUCUACCUUUAUUGUGAGACACACCAACAAAAGUGAGAAAAAUUGAAAGUGAGCAAUAUUGUAAUGAGAUGUGAAUAUCAAAAGAGGGUUAUUAUUUUUGAGUGUUGUAGUAUUCUUUGGAGUAUUUAUAUUCGUUUCUAUACGGUGUAAAUUUCUUACUAUAGUGAUAUAAGUUUCUCCUUUUAGGUCCGUGGUUUUCCCCUUAAUCAAAAAGGGAUUUCACGUAAAAAUCUUGGUGUUAUUGUCACUCUUUUAUCCUUGUUAAUUACCAUAUCUUGGUGCUACGUUAUUAUUCCGCUUUUAUUACCUGAAAUAUUAUUUUUGUAGAGGGUUUAUUCCCAGCAGAUACUACUUUCCACACUAUUUCUUAACUUGGAACACCCGCAGACAAUCUUGUAAUUCUUCAAUCAACUACGUACUGCAACUACUAAGAAGGAAUUUCUUAAUGCAAAAGGAAGUAUUAAGACUUCACCGACACUCCAAAGUGACAAGAAAUAAAAUAACCAAUUAAGAUCAAAUAAUAAAGGGGAUUAACAUUAUAUACCCUUUUGCAAGCAGGAAGUUGGCUUGUUUAACUGAGUAAAAAUUUGAUUUGAGCUUCAUUCAUGAAUUAAAAUCAUGUAAAGUUCUUAUAGUAGUAAUUACUUUUGAGGUUAAGUUUCAUUUAUGGAAAAAAAAUGUAUUCAUCUAAUAUUUCAAAUCAUACACCCAGGUAUAAACUUGCAGACAUGCAAAUCAAACCAAAUUAUGAACAUGCAAGUUAGAAAUCCAACAAUAAACAACCCAAAUAAAGAUCUAACGUAUACCCACCAAAGAACAGGAAACAAAUUGAUAUCCAAAACUAUAUAUAAAAACCUAUCUUUUAGAGAUCCGCAAACCCAAAAAUUGAUAGAUAAAUUAGAGAAAACCACUAUCACAACCAUCGUAAAGAAAUUAAAAAGAUUUGAUAUUGUUCUAGAAGAAUAAAAGAGAAAAGGGGGGUUUUACCACCAUGAACACAAAAUAUCAACAAUAUCCAACAAAAUGUGAUUACCAACUAACAAAAAAUAAAGUGCAUGAAGCAGAGAAAAAUUUCAAGAAAAUCUCGCUCACAAUUUCAUUGAGUGAAGAUCAAAGAAAUAAAAGAAAAAUCUGAAGUAAAAGAAGAAAGAGUCAUUGCAGUCAACAUUAAUUAGAAGGGUGAAGAAGAAAGAGAAAGUUGCAAAACUCACAAGAAGAGAGAAGAGAGUAGACACACUUCAAUUAAGUGAAGGAGAAAUUGAAGCAGGUGGACCUAAUUGAUUCUGAGUUUUGAACACUACAGAGGGUUUCGUAUAUAAACUGUUAACAGGGAGAAAAAUAUGAGUACACAUGUUAAGAGGAAAAGGGAAAACAAACCAAGUAACACUGAAAUAAG
RNAcentral lists this long non-coding RNA (9955 nucleotides) under Nicotiana benthamiana. RNAcentral's name for it is "long non-coding RNA (NBEN_LNC019382)". The record is from RNAcentral. Lineage: Eukaryota; Viridiplantae; Streptophyta; Magnoliopsida; Solanales; Solanaceae.